RNAcentral lists this long non-coding RNA (269 nucleotides) under Gossypium barbadense (sea-island cotton). Its description in RNAcentral is "long non-coding RNA (GBAR_LNC017976)". Lineage: Eukaryota; Viridiplantae; Streptophyta; Magnoliopsida; Malvales; Malvaceae. The record is from RNAcentral.
CCUUAACCUCCCAACCCUCGAAGUCCCUUACUACUAGCAAUAACUACACCAACCAGCAGCCAUUCUCCCCAACUGCACCCACCACCAGCUGCACGUCCCAACUACCAGCAACAGUAGCUGCACGGUCCUAUUCCUAUUGCACGUGCUACUUCUUGCCACGUCUUCGAGCCACCAUUUGGCCAUUUGCUAGCAACCACCAUAAACGUCACACCUACCAAACCCAACACCCUAGUCGACGUUAAUCACCAUCUAACCAACCUUUACCUGAC